Molecule: transfer RNA, 85 nt
Filed under: Escherichia coli
Lineage: Bacteria; Pseudomonadati; Pseudomonadota; Gammaproteobacteria; Enterobacterales; Enterobacteriaceae
Also listed under: 1 other name
Description: tRNA-Tyr
Rfam family: tRNA
About the family: Transfer RNA (tRNA) molecules are approximately 80 nucleotides in length. Their secondary structure includes four short double-helical elements and three loops (D, anti-codon, and T loops).
Source: RNAcentral
GGUGGGGUUCCCGAGCGGCCAAAGGGAGCAGACUGUAAAUCUGCCGUCAUCGACUUCGAAGGUUCGAAUCCUUCCCCCAGCACCA